CCUGCGGAGGGAUCAUUACAGGACGUUUAUCAACUCCCAAACCCCUGUGAACAUACCUUAUGUUGCCUCGGCGGAUCAGCCCGCGCCCCGUAAAAAGGGACGGCCCGCCGCAGGAACCCUAAACUCUGUUUUUAGUGGAACUUCUGAGUAUAAAAAACAAAUAAAUCAAAACUUUCAACAACGGAUCUCUUGGUUCUGGCAUCGAUGAAGAACGCAGCAAAAUGCGAUAAGUAAUGUGAAUUGCAGAAUUCAGUGAAUCAUCGAAUCUUUGAACGCACAUUGCGCCCGCCAGUAUUCUGGCGGGCAUGCCUGUUCGAGCGUCAUUUCAACCCUCAAGCCCAGCUUGGUGUUGGGAGCUGCAGUCCUGCUGCACUCCCCAAAUACAUUGGCGGUCACGUCGAGCUUCCAUAGCGUAGUAAUUUACACAUCGUUACUGGUAAUCGUCGCGGCCACGCCGUUAAACCCCAACUUCUGAAUGUUGACCUCGGAUCAGGUAGGAAUGCCCGCUGAACUUAAGCAUAUCAAUA
Molecule: ribosomal RNA, 527 nt
Filed under: Fusarium graminearum
Lineage: Eukaryota; Fungi; Ascomycota; Sordariomycetes; Hypocreales; Nectriaceae
Description: eukaryotic LSU rRNA
Rfam family: 5.8S ribosomal RNA (bases 170-323)
Source: RNAcentral